UGGGCAAGUAGUUAAAAAAUCAACAUUUAAUUUGCAAUUAAAAAUUAUUAUAAAUAAUCUGCCUAA
RNAcentral lists this transfer RNA (66 nucleotides) under Vanhornia eucnemidarum. RNAcentral describes it as "tRNA-Ala". The record is from RNAcentral. Lineage: Eukaryota; Metazoa; Arthropoda; Insecta; Hymenoptera; Vanhorniidae.